ACAAACUACUAAUUGGUGUAUUCUUACUACAUAAAAGAGUAAGAAUUGCCAGAAUUUUGGAAAUUAAAGAUCUAGAGUAGGGGGUUCAAUAUACUGCAGGGGGGUCAAAAUACCAUGGCAAAGUAAAAUUUUCAAAAUAACUUUUCCAGCAAGUUUAAUACAUACAAACUGCUUAUUUGUGUAUUCUAACUAUAUAAAAAAGUUA
RNAcentral lists this long non-coding RNA (205 nucleotides) under Mytilus galloprovincialis (Mediterranean mussel). Lineage: Eukaryota; Metazoa; Mollusca; Bivalvia; Mytilida; Mytilidae. The record is from RNAcentral.